AAGAAGUGCCAUCCUUCGUUUUCACCGGACCAGAACUUAGUCGUCAAUAGUGGGAAAUUCUAAGUAAAUCCUUGUUAAUUUUUGAUUAUCAAGAAUACUUUUAUAAUCACUUUGCAGUAUUUAUCUUAAACAAUGUUUCCUUAAAAUUUAAUAAAAAUAUAGCAAGAUUUGUAAACGUUGCAUCCGAUGUACUCUGAAGGCUUCGAAAAAUAUAGACAAAACAGAGCGGUGAUGUUUCGAAGGUACAAAAGACACGAUAUGGCUGUGAAAGAGGCUGCGUCAUAAACAACAAGAACAUAAGUUCAAUGUUCUAGAAGCGAUCUUCUAAACUCCAGCUGGCCGAUAGCGUAUCAAUAACGAUCGUCGUGGAUCGCAGUGGCAAUGGAUUCCAGGAUCAAGGACGCGGGGACAGGUUCCAACAACCUGCUAACCAUGAGGCGCAUCGUCAAGUGACACCAGUCACUGGUCAGUUCCAUAACUGUGCACCACUAGGAAGGCAUAAAGAAGCGUGGACAAAGUGUAGAGAGUGGGAUAACCGAGAGCGGAGGGUCCGACGACCCCCAGUAGGAUAUUCGAUGAACGCGCAACACCUGCGUUUUCGGAGAUGACCAUGAACACCCCAAAAACUCUGGGUGAAACUGACAGGACAAUAUACCACCCGCCACCGGCUGACCAUUGUCUGUCCAGGAAUGGUCUACGGAUGGUGUCGCAAUGUCACAUGCAGGGAAACACUGGAUACAGCAUUAUUAUUUGCAGGCGUGUAAUCCUAAUUCUGUUUUAACUGCCAGGGAGAUAGAUAGGCAGUAUCUGCUCGGUCAGAGCCCAGUUAUUUAUUACCUUUGUUUACACUGGUCCAUCCGCAAUUAACACAGAUCAGUCCCGUACCGGCUGGGACCGACCCUUCGAUGGGCGAACAACCUGUAACCUCCCGAUGAAACACGCGCUAACAACCUCUUCGUGGCUCUAUUGACUAAUUGAACAGCUGAGAGGCUGCGAGAAUUGUGUCCCAAACUUAAAUAUCUCUCGGACCUGUCUACAGGUUACUUUCAGUCGUCUCCUUGGACUAUUUAUUACCAACAACAGGAAAAAUCUCUGCUCGAUCAGUCACUCUGCGAGUUUAUGUGUUUGUACUGUGGAUCACCGUGUACGCCGUGUAGCUGAAUUAAUAGACGGACGAAAACGUUAGGACGACUGGAUUUCUGGGUAAUUGAACAAUCAGUUUUUUCUAAUGCUUAAUAUUAUUCGUUUAGAUUAAGACAACGAUCACUGUGAAUUUGUUUAAACAUUUUCAAAUCUGUGAUACAUUUUAGUAAUUGUAAAAGAAGCGUAAAAGACACGCAAAACAUUAACACUAAAACUACCGAGACAUAAACACGACUAAUGUGUAUUGUUUUAUAACUGGAUUUAUUUAAACUUCGCAUGAUUUAAAUCAUAACAUAUGCUUCAAUAAAGAAGUGUACCUAAACAUUUCUCCUGGAUAUAUUUGUAUAAUAUCAGGAACUGUAAAAGAAAAAGUUAAAAAUUAGUCAAUUUGACUGGUUUGAUAGUUCUAGUGUUACACUAUAACAAUGAGUCAAAUUGAUGAGAAGAUUUGUUUUAAUUCGAAAUAAAAUUUGAUUCUUCAAUCAUCAGAAUUUAGAAAGGAAAGCAAAGAAUGGUAUAAAAGAAUCAAAAGUUUAUAUUGUUCUAUUAACCAGUUAGCUAUUGCAAUAUUUUUGCAAAGUGUGCAAGUUACUGUAUUUGUUUGAUUGUCUUCAUGUUAAGGACUCUAGUGGAAUUGGUGGACUGUAUGGUAAAAAAGACGCUGGUGUAGUAAAACUAAAUAUAUUUUAACAAAAGAAUGAUGGAAUGUGAUGAUGUAUCGCGAAGCUGACGAAUGAUACGAUCAAGCGAUCGAUUUAUGGCUAUACAGCUGUAGCUAGGUUUGCAAGCGCAAUAGAAUUACCAAGCAUAAUUAUAAAAAGUUCAAUCGACAAAAGACUCGCCGCGAUCGAAUUAAACGGGUCUAUUUAUUAUCGUGGGCCAUCGAUUAGGAGAGGUAGAGGAGUGAGGAAUUUGAAAAUUGAAGGGACUAAGCAGCGCUGACAUUCGUGACAGUUGCAUAGGUUCAAUACACUAACGAACAGCGGUGUGUGGGAACCAAGGAAAUUUGGUAACGGAUUUGAUAUUGGGAUUGUUGGAAGGAUGGCCCAGUCGACACACACAUAUUGACGAUUGUAUACAAGCUGGAUCGUUCACCUCGGCCGGUGACGAGCUCGUUGAACAGCUGACAUUGGCACGGAGCACAAAAACAGACUCCGCGCUGGUGUUUUUGUUCACCGACCUAGGUGAUACCGGUAAAUGCGAUGCUAGUGCUCGAUUUUUAAUUUUAAUUUUAGACACUUCAUGUCUUGUUUAACUAUAAAAUGUAUUGAUAUAUUAUUAAAAUAUAUUAAUAUUUUAUUUAAAUAUAA
Long non-coding RNA from Megalopta genalis, 2453 nucleotides. RefSeq lists it as uncharacterized. Lineage: Eukaryota; Metazoa; Arthropoda; Insecta; Hymenoptera; Halictidae. The record is from RefSeq and is a predicted model, not a curated record.